Molecule: ribosomal RNA, 374 nt
Filed under: uncultured organism
Description: bacterial SSU rRNA
Rfam family: Bacterial small subunit ribosomal RNA
Source: RNAcentral
CGGAGGGUGCGAGCGUUGUCCGGAAUCAUUGGGCGUAAAGGGCGCGUAGGUGGCCUGUGCAAGCGUGCGGUGAAAGCUCGGGGCUCAACCCCGGGUCGGCCGUGCGAACUGCUGGGCUCGAGCACUGUAGAGGCAGGCGGAAUUCCGGGUGUAGCGGUGGAAUGCGUAGAGAUCCGGAAGAACACCGGUGGCGAAGGCGGCCUGCUGGGCAGUGGCUGACACUGAGGCGCGACAGCGUGGGGAGCAAACAGGAUUAGAUACCCUGGUAGUCCACGCCGUAAACGAUGGGCACUAGGCGCUUGGGGGAGCGACCCUCCGAGGGCCGGCGCUAACGCAUUAAGUGCCCCCGCCUGGGGAGUACGGCCGCAAGGCUG